Small nucleolar RNA from Grammomys surdaster, 132 nucleotides. RefSeq annotates it as small nucleolar RNA SNORA17. The record is from RefSeq and is a predicted model, not a curated record. The transcript has a single exon. NCBI's taxonomy places the organism in Eukaryota, Metazoa, Chordata, Mammalia, Rodentia, Muridae.
CCUGCCCCUAGGUGUGUUACAGGUGUGAUUGCCACAUCACAUGUAUGUCAGUGGGCAGCAGAGAGAAGAGAGGUUGCAUGUAUGGUCAAUGUUAUGACCUAUGAACACCUGAAUGUUUAGUAGCCUAAAUGU